RNAcentral lists this long non-coding RNA (471 nucleotides) under Androctonus crassicauda. Lineage: Eukaryota; Metazoa; Arthropoda; Arachnida; Scorpiones; Buthidae. The record is from RNAcentral.
CUUCGUUAAGGUACCACUUUACACGGGUUAUUAUAAUAAUAAUGUUAAAAGAAUUUUUGUUUCUUGUUAAUAAUGAGGGAAAGUUCGCUUCCGUUAAAGGAAGUAGAAACUUAUCUAAGUUUCAUAUCGUUACAAACUUAGGAAAAGUGAAGUCAGAUCAGCAGGGGACAUUCGUUAAUUAUCGGGUUAAAUACACCCCUCCAACCGCAGGAAAUCUUUUAUCCACAGCAGUGGAUGCAGGAAGAUUAUAUAUAUGAGUCAAAAAUGGAAAUAAGGGGCGAACUCGAAAAAGGGUGAAUGGAAGAAAGGUCAAACACGAGAGAGGUCGAAAGAAACAACGGAGAAAAUCGGUCGUCUCCGCCAACUUCCCGAAAAGACAUCCGACAUCCUGACGAUGUAUCAAAGUGCUGCGAGAAGAACAGCACCAUCGAGGAGAAGUGAAAUUUUUCCAUCAGGAGUGGUACUAUUUCA